CCAAUAGCGUAUAUUAAAGUUGCUGCAGUUAAAAAGCUCGUAGUUGAAUUUCGGGAUCAAUAUGUUGGUCGUGCCUUGGUACGUACUAGCUUAUUGAUUUCUCCCUUCUGACGAACCAUGAUGUCAUUAAUUUGGUGUCAUGGGGAAUUAGGACUGUUACUUUGAAAAAAUUAGAGUGUUUAAAGCAGGCUCACGCUUGAAUACAUUAGCAUGGAAUAAU
This 220-nucleotide ribosomal RNA is filed under the name uncultured Glomus. Its description in RNAcentral is "partial small subunit ribosomal RNA". It matches the Rfam family "Eukaryotic small subunit ribosomal RNA", at positions 591 to 818 of the family's 1831-position model. Lineage: Eukaryota; Fungi; Glomeromycota; Glomeromycetes; Glomerales; Glomeraceae. The record is from RNAcentral.